Unclassified non-coding RNA from Mustela putorius furo (domestic ferret), 329 nucleotides. Its record names the gene 7SK. It matches the Rfam family "7SK RNA". From Rfam's summary of the family: 7SK was discovered as an abundant small nuclear RNA in the mid-70s but a possible function has only recently been suggested. Two independent studies have found that 7SK RNA binds the CDK9/cyclin T complex (known as elongation factor P-TEFb). The record is from Ensembl. Lineage: Eukaryota; Metazoa; Chordata; Mammalia; Carnivora; Mustelidae.
GGAUGUGAGGGCAAUCUGGCUGUGACAUCUGUCACCCAAUUGAUUGCCAAGGUUGAUUCAGCUGACAUGUUUUGUUAGACAGGUGUCCUCUUAGUCUCUCGUCACUCCACGUGUGUUGCUCCCAAAGUUGCACACUCAGUGGAAGAAGAUGGCCUUCCUCCAUAGAGAAGGACCAUUCUUCGAUCAAAGGUAGACAAGAAGCUGUGUUACCUUACUUGAGCAUCCAAAGAAGCUCUGAAGGUCCAUUUGUAGGAAAAGGUAGGGGUCAAGCUUCUCAGACUCCAGACACAUCCAAGUGAGGCACUGCACGUGGCAGUUUGCCUUUAUUU